This 714-nucleotide long non-coding RNA is filed under the name Phasianus colchicus (ring-necked pheasant). Its description in RNAcentral is "lncRNA (ENSPCLG00000001902.1)". The record is from RNAcentral. Lineage: Eukaryota; Metazoa; Chordata; Aves; Galliformes; Phasianidae.
GUGCUACUACCAGUAUGAAUCAACCUCUUACCUCAUAAAUAGUGAGCAAGCCCAGGGGCUUCUGGGCUCUUCUGUAGGACAGUCUCCUGUGUGAUGGAUCGCCUCUAACGUAAGGGUGGCUCUUGAAGUUAUGCCUGUUUUGGUGCUGUGUGAUGCCUUGCUGAUACAGACCUUUGCCUGUUCUCUUAAUUGGUUGGAAUCAUGGUGAGAUGACCUUGAAUGUCACCAAUACUUCUAGCAAGAAUGGUUUAUAUUUAAGUGAAUUUGGCACUGUGGUACGCUCGCAGCUUCUUUGCAUGCCAUGAAGGUCCUUCAGCAGGGGGAGGAGGAGCCAAAAGGAGGGAGGAGUGUGAACAGAGAAUUAGACUUAACUUCCUGCUGACUUUCCUGAAACCUGAGGGUAUGCUCAAAGCACUGAUGGAAGAUAUCUACUCUGAAGUGUUUCUGAUAAAAAUGGAAGAAAAUUGUCAAAGGAUUGAAGAAUGAUAUUUAUGCCGUAUAUUAAAGCUUAUUUUACAUGCUAAACUGGAUUGGGGAAUUCAUUUCUCAUAGAAGCUGUUGACAGCUCUAACUUAAGAAGCUAUUUUUCAUAGAUCAGAUUAUCUGCUGAAGUGACCGUCUUCAAACUGAGUGGUGAGGAGAGCUGGGUAAAAUGGAGUAAUUACAGUUCUGUACUGUAUACUGCUGAAUAAAGAAUGUAGAGAUCAUGAGCCA